Molecule: ribosomal RNA, 252 nt
Filed under: uncultured bacterium
Lineage: Bacteria
Description: partial 16S ribosomal RNA
Rfam family: Bacterial small subunit ribosomal RNA
Source: RNAcentral
UACGUAGGUCCCGAGCGUUGUCCGGAUUUAUUGGGCGUAAAGCGAGCGCAGGUGGUUUAUUAAGUCUGGUGUAAAAGGCAGUGGCUCAACUAUUGUAUGCAUUGGAAACUGGUAGACUUGAGUGCAGGAGAGGAGAGUGGAAUUCCAUGUGUAGCGGUGAAAUGCGUAGAUAUAUGGAGGAACACCGGUGGCGAAAGCGGCUCUCUGGCCUGUAACUGACACUGAGGCUCGAAAGCGUGGGGAGCAAACAGG